Molecule: non-coding RNA, 45 nt
Filed under: Schistosoma margrebowiei
Lineage: Eukaryota; Metazoa; Platyhelminthes; Trematoda; Strigeidida; Schistosomatidae
Source: RNAcentral
AUCCAGCUGAUUCGUCCUGAAUAGGACGAAAUAUACGUCCUGGAU